GACGAACGCUGGCGGCGUGCUUAACACAUGCAAGUCGAACGAUGAAGCUGGAGCUUGCUCUAGCGGAUUAGUGGCGAACGGGUGAGUAACACGUGAGCAAUCUGCCCUUGACUCUGGGAUAACUGCGGGAAACUGUAGCUAAUACCGGAUACUUUCACCGGGGGGCAUCCUCUGGUGAUGAAAGAAUUUCGGUCAAGGAUGAGCUCGCGGCCUAUCAGCUUGUUGGUGAGGUAACGGCUCACCAAGGCGACGACGGGUAACCGGCCUGAGAGGGUGACCGGUCACACUGGGACUGAGACACGGCCCAGACUCCUAGGGGAGGCAGCAGUGGGGAAUAUUGCACAAUGGGCGCAAGCCUGAUGCAGCAACGCCGCGUGAGGGAUGACGGCCUUCGGGUUGUAAACCUCUUUUAGUAGGGAAGAAGCGAAAGUGACGGUACCUGCAGAAAAAGCACCGGCUAACUACGUGCCAGCAGCCGCCGUAA
Molecule: ribosomal RNA, 484 nt
Filed under: uncultured bacterium
Lineage: Bacteria
Description: partial 16S ribosomal RNA
Rfam family: Bacterial small subunit ribosomal RNA
Source: RNAcentral